CGCUGGAUCAUCCCCGACCAAAACCUUCGCUGAUGGAAGCAAUGCCACUAGUGAUUCAGAAUGUUGAGCAGGGAUACUCUGGUUUUCACCAAUUGCCUAUAAAUGCAUUCCAGCUCUUCUUCUGCCUCUUGAAUGCUUGACUCAAAUGCUUCCAAUCCUUUAAGAAGGUUUUGAAGUUGUGAAAGACAGAUGUCUUUGCUUGACUUCAGGGUAAUCAAUUCAGCAUCAAUCUUCUCUGCUUCAUUGACUCCAUUUUCUACUUCGCAUGAGACGCGCUUGCUUUGCAAUAAUUUUGAGAUGACGGACCACCCAGAGAGCAUUGAUUUUGCCUUUGGCUGAGAAAUGA
This 346-nucleotide unclassified non-coding RNA is filed under the name Hevea brasiliensis (rubber tree). The record is from RNAcentral. Lineage: Eukaryota; Viridiplantae; Streptophyta; Magnoliopsida; Malpighiales; Euphorbiaceae.